Molecule: ribosomal RNA, 711 nt
Filed under: uncultured bacterium
Lineage: Bacteria
Description: bacterial SSU rRNA
Rfam family: Bacterial small subunit ribosomal RNA
Source: RNAcentral
GGACGACCGCUGGCGGCGUGCUUAACACAUGCAAGUCGAACGAGAAAGGGACUUCGGUCCUGAGUACAGUGGCGCACGGGUGAGUAACACGUGGAUAAUCUGCCUGAUGGACAGGGNAUAACAUCUCGAAAGAGGUGCUAAUACCAGAUAAGCCCACAGCAUCUACGGAUGCAGCGGGAAAAGGGGGCCUCUUCAUGAAAGCUUCCACCAACAGAUGAGUCCGCGGUCCAUUAGCUAGUUGGUAGGGUAAUGGCCUACCAAGGCCACGAUGGAUAGCUGGUUUGAGAGAAUGAUCAGCCACACUGGAACUGAGACACGGUCCAGACUCCUACGGGAGGCAGCAGUGGGGAAUAUUGCGCAAUGGGGGCAACCCUGACGCAGCAACGCCGCGUGAGUGAUGAAGGUUUUCGGAUCGUAAAGCUCUGUCAAGAGGGAAGAAACCCCGAUAGGCUAAUACCUUGUCGGAUUGACGGUACCUCUAAAGGAAGCACCGGCUAACUCCGUGCCAGCAGCCGCGGUAAUACGGAGGGUGCGAGCGUUGUUCGGAAUUAUUGGGCGUAAAGCGCGUGCAGGCGGUUGUUUAAGUCUGAUGUGAAAGCCCCGGGCUCAACCUGGGAAGUGCAUUGGAAACUUGGGCAACUUGAGUUACGGGAGAGGGAAGUGGAAUUUUGAGUGUAGGGGGUGAAAUCCGUAGAUAUUCGAAGGAACACC